Molecule: ribosomal RNA, 468 nt
Filed under: uncultured bacterium
Lineage: Bacteria
Description: partial 16S ribosomal RNA
Rfam family: Bacterial small subunit ribosomal RNA
Source: RNAcentral
GACGAACGCUGGCGGCGUGCUUAACACAUGCAAGUCGAACGGAAAGGCCCUGCUUUUGUGGGGUGCUCGAUUGGCGAACGGGUGAGUAACACGUGAGUAACCUGCCCUUGACUUUGGGAUAACUUCAGGAAACUGGGGCUCAUACCGGAUAGGAGCUCCUGCUGCAUGUUGGGGGUUGGAAAGUUUCGGCGGUUGUGGAUGGACUCGCGGCUUAUCAGCUUGUUUGUGGGGUAGUGGUUUACCAAGGCUUUGACGGGUAGCCGGCCUGAGAGGGUGACCGGCCACCAUGGGACUGAGAUACGGCCCAGACUCCUACGGGAGGCAGCAGGGGGGAAUAUUGCACAAUGGGCGGAAGCCUGAUGCAGCAACGCCGCGUGCGGGAUGACGGCCUUCGGGUUGUAAACCGCUUUCGCCUGUGACGAAGCGUGAGUGACGGUAAUGGGUAAAGAAGCACCGGCUAACUACGUG